CCCAACAAACCACUUCUAGGUUAUAUUUGUUUCAUGCUCAACUACAACCCAUACAAGAGGAUACAUUUGAUUGUUGGCAUCUCUGCCUAUGGCACACAACAUCUCACCCUUCACUGCACCUUUGAAGAGACAACCAUCAAGGCCUAUUACCUAUCUACAACCAGCCUUGAAUCCUUGUUUCAUUGCAUUAAAGCAGACAUGGAAGCUUUGGAAAACACUUUCCUCCAAAUUUGUGGGGUCCAUGCAAACAACUAUUGUGCUUCCAGGGUUGCUCCUUAGCAGCUCAAGUUGGUAAUCAAAUACUAUGGUGUAUUCAUUACUCAUCCCACACGGUAGUUUGUCCAUUACAAUUUUCUUUGCAUGCUUGCACUUUGAAGUGGAGACAUCAACAAACAUAUCUUGCAAAAUAGUUGCUUUCAUGCUAUCAAUUUUCCAC
RNAcentral lists this long non-coding RNA (436 nucleotides) under Hordeum vulgare. Its description in RNAcentral is "long non-coding RNA (HVUL_LNC010665)". The record is from RNAcentral. Lineage: Eukaryota; Viridiplantae; Streptophyta; Magnoliopsida; Poales; Poaceae.